This 650-nucleotide ribosomal RNA is filed under the name Faronus parallelus. Its description in RNAcentral is "eukaryotic LSU rRNA". It matches the Rfam family "Eukaryotic large subunit ribosomal RNA", at positions 663 to 1265 of the family's 3401-position model. Lineage: Eukaryota; Metazoa; Arthropoda; Insecta; Coleoptera; Staphylinidae. The record is from RNAcentral.
GGACCAAGGAGUCUAGCAUGUGAGCGAGUCAUUGGGCAUUUUGAAACCCAAAGGCGAAGCGAAAUCGAAGGCGAGCCUUCGGGCAAGCCGUGGGAUGAUGGGCGGUCUACGGCCGCCUCGCAAUCCCGGGGUGUCUCUUUCUCAUUGCGAGAUGAGGCGCCCUCUGAGCUCACACGCUGGGACCCGAAAGAUGGUGAACUAUGCCUGGUCAGGACGAAGCCAGGGGAAACCCUGGUGGAGGUCCGCAGCGAUUCUGACGUGCAAAUCGAUCGUCAUAUCUGGGUAUAGGGGCGAAAGACCAAUCGAACCAUCUAGUAGCUGGUUCCCUCCGAAGUUUCCCUCAGGAUAGCAGGUACCGGAGCGUGCUCAACGCACGACUGUAGUCACAUGCGGUAAAGCGAAUGAUUAGAGGUAUUGGGGUCGAAACGGCCUCAACCUAUUCUCAAACUUUCAAUGUGUGCGAUCUCCGGCUUACGUAUUCGAAGCCGGCUGAUUGGAUACGAAGGUGCCUAGUGGGCCAUUUUUGGUAAGCAGAACUGGCGCUGUGGGAUGAACCAAACGUGGAGUUAAAGUGCCUAAACCACGCUUAUGGGAAACCAUGAAAGGCGUUAGUAACUAAAGACAGCAGGACGGUGGCCAUGGAAGUCGGA